AUGUCAACCCUCAAGGACCUCCUCCACCUCCUGGCUGUACACGGCAUCCUCUGCCACCUCCUCCCCCACGUGCUCCUCCCAAUGGCCCUACAGGCAGCACUUAGGGGGCUCAUCAUCCAGGUGAUGCCAACCCUCAAAGACCCUCCUCCCCCGCCUAGCCCAACUAGCAGUGCCCUGUGUGCUACUCCCAAUGGACCUACAGGCAGGACUCAGGGGGCUCAUCACCCUGGCGAUUACAAUCCAAGUACCAUGACGGGCCGUGCUACUACAGGUGUUUUUAUCAACUUAACUUGCACACAGCAACCAGUUAGUUGCACAUCAUGGGCUGUGUGGUUGCAGAGAACAUCAAUGCUAGUUGCACAACAACAAAAAAUACUAAUUUUUUUAUAUGAUUAUUACACAGUUGAUCGUGAUGGUCCUACUGCCCCGUUGGAGGCUGCAUCCCCUGCACAACCUUCUGAUGAUUUUGUGCCCAGGGAUCCUCCAAGGUCUACUACAAAGGAUAGGGCAAAGAGUCGACAAUAG
RNAcentral lists this ribosomal RNA (525 nucleotides) under Triticum aestivum (bread wheat). RNAcentral describes it as "partial small subunit ribosomal RNA". The record is from RNAcentral. Lineage: Eukaryota; Viridiplantae; Streptophyta; Magnoliopsida; Poales; Poaceae.